AGAACGAACGCUGGCGGCAUGCCUAAUACAUGCAAGUCGAACGAACACUUCGGUGUUAGUGGCGCACGGGUGCGUAACGCGUGGGAAUCUGCCCUUGGGUUCGGAAUAACAGUUGGAAACGACUGCUAAUACCGGAUGAUAUCGAAAGAUCAAAGAUUUAUCGCCCAGGGAUGAGCCCGCGUAGGAUUAGCUAGUUGGUGAGGUAAAGGCUCACCGAGGCGACGAUCCUUAGCUGGUCUGAGAGGAUGAUCAGCCACACUGGGACUGAGACACGGCCCAGACUCCUACGGGA
Molecule: ribosomal RNA, 292 nt
Filed under: uncultured soil bacterium
Lineage: Bacteria
Description: partial 16S ribosomal RNA
Rfam family: Bacterial small subunit ribosomal RNA
Source: RNAcentral